UACGAAGGGGGCGAGCGUUGUUCGGAUUUACUGGGCGUAAAGGGCGCGUAGGCGGCGGACCAAGUCGAGUGUGAAAGCCCCGGGCUCAACCUGGGAGGUGCGCUCGAGACUGGUCUGCUUGAGUUCGGGAGAGGAGCGUGGAAUUCCCAGUGUAGAGGUGAAAUUCGUAGAUAUUGGGAAGAACACCGGUGGCGAAGGCGGCGCUCUGGACCGGAGACGUGACGCUGAGGCGCGAAAGCGUGGGGAGCAAACAGGG
Molecule: ribosomal RNA, 256 nt
Filed under: uncultured bacterium
Lineage: Bacteria
Description: partial 16S ribosomal RNA
Rfam family: Bacterial small subunit ribosomal RNA
Source: RNAcentral